GUUGUAGUCUGGAGAAGUGCUUUCCGCGUUGGACCGUGUAUAAGUCUCUUGGAAUAGAGCGUCAUAGAGGGUGAGAACCCCGUCUUUGACACGGACUACCAGUGCUUUGUGAUGCGCUCUCAAAGAGUCGAGUUGUUUGGGAAUGCAGCUCAAAAUGGGUGGUAAAUUCCAUCUAAAGCUAAAUAUUGGCGAGAGACCGAUAGCGAACAAGUACCGUGAGGGAAAGAUGAAAAGCACUUUGGAAAGAGAGUUAAACAGUACGUGAAAUUGCUGAAAGGGAAACACUUGAAGUCAGUCGUGUUGUUUGGAACUCAGCCUUGCUUUUGCUUGGUGCACUUUCUGAAUGACAGGCCAGCAUCAAUUUUGACCGUUGGAAAAAGGCAGGGGGAAUGUGGCACCUUCGGGUGUGUUAUAGCCUCUUGUCACAUACAACGGUUGGGAUUGAGGACCGCAGCACGCCGCAAGGCAGGGGGUUUCCCACUUUCGUGCUUAGGAUGCUGGCAUAAUGGCUUUAAAUGACCCGUCUUGAAACACGGACCAAGGAGUCUAACAUGCCUGCGAGUGUUUGGGUGGAAAACCCGAGCGCGUAAUGAAAGUGAAAGUUGAGACCUCUGUCGUGGAGGGCACCGACGCCCGGACCUGACGUUCUCUGACGGAUCCGCGGUAGAGCAUGUAUGUUGGGACCCGAAAGAUGGUGAACUAUGCCUGAAUAGGGUGAAGCCAGAGGAAACUCUGGUG
RNAcentral lists this ribosomal RNA (738 nucleotides) under Cerioporus squamosus. Its description in RNAcentral is "partial 28S rRNA". It matches the Rfam family "Eukaryotic large subunit ribosomal RNA", at positions 142 to 869 of the family's 3401-position model. Lineage: Eukaryota; Fungi; Basidiomycota; Agaricomycetes; Polyporales; Polyporaceae. The record is from RNAcentral.